RNAcentral lists this ribosomal RNA (1254 nucleotides) under Enterobacter hormaechei. RNAcentral's name for it is "partial 23S ribosomal RNA". Lineage: Bacteria; Pseudomonadati; Pseudomonadota; Gammaproteobacteria; Enterobacterales; Enterobacteriaceae. The record is from RNAcentral.
GUGACUGCGUACCUUUUGUAUAAUGGGUCAGCGACUUAUAUUCUGUAGCAAGGUUAACCGUAUAGGGGAGCCGAAGGGAAACCGAGUCUUAACUGGGCGUUAAGUUGCAGGGUAUAGACCCGAAACCCGGUGAUCUAGCCAUGGGCAGGUUGAAGGUUGGGUAACACUAACUGGAGGACCGAACCGACUAAUGUUGAAAAAUUAGCGGAUGACCUGUGGCUGGGGGUGAAAGGCCAAUCAAACCGGGAGAUAGCUGGUUCUCCCCGAAAGCUAUUUAGGUAGCGCCUCGUGAACUCAUCUUCGGGGGUAGAGCACUGUUUCGGCUAGGGGGCCAUCCCGGCUUACCAACCCGAUGCAAACUACGAAUACCGAAGAAUGUUAUCACGGGAGACACACGGCGGGUGCUAACGUCCGUCGUGAAGAGGGAAACAACCCAGACCGCCAGCUAAGGUCCCAAAGUCAUGGUUAAGUGGGAAACGAUGUGGGAAGGCACAGACAGCCAGGAUGUUGGCUUAGAAGCAGCCAUCAUUUAAAGAAAGCGUAAUAGCUCACUGGUCGAGUCGGCCUGCGCGGAAGAUGUAACGGGGCUAAACCAUGCACCGAAGCUGCGGCAGCGACACUUAUGUGUUGUUGGGUAGGGGAGCGUUCUGUAAGCCGUUGAAGGUGUGCUGUGAGGCAUGCUGGAGGUAUCAGAAGUGCGAAUGCUGACAUAAGUAACGAUAAAGCGGGUGAAAAGCCCGCUCGCCGGAAGACCAAGGGUUCCUGUCCAACGUUAAUCGGGGCAGGGUGAGUCGACCCCUAAGGCGAGGCCGAAAGGCGUAGUCGAUGGGAAACAGGUUAAUAUUCCUGUACUUGGUGUUACUGCGAAGGGGGGACGGAGAAGGCUAUGUCAGCCGGGCGACGGUUGUCCCGGUUUAAGCAUGUAGGCGGAGGUUCCAGGUAAAUCCGGUACCUUUUAACGCUGAGGUGUGAUGACGAGGCACUACGGUGCUGAAGUGAUAAAUGCCCUGCUUCCAGGAAAAGCCUCUAAGCAUCAGGUAACACGAAAUCGUACCCCAAACCGACACAGGUGGUCAGGUAGAGAAUACCAAGGCGCUUGAGAGAACUCGGGUGAAGGAACUAGGCAAAAUGGUGCCGUAACUUCGGGAGAAGGCACGCUGAUAGGUAGGUGAAGYCCCUGCGGRCGGAGCUGAAAUCAGUCGAAGAUACCAGCUGGCUGCAACUGUUUAUUAAAAACACAGCACUGUGCAAACA